RNAcentral lists this ribosomal RNA (460 nucleotides) under uncultured bacterium. RNAcentral describes it as "partial 16S ribosomal RNA". It matches the Rfam family "Bacterial small subunit ribosomal RNA", at positions 338 to 795 of the family's 1533-position model. The record is from RNAcentral.
CCUACGGGUGGCAGCAGUGAGGAAUAUUGGUCAAUGGACGAGAGUCUGAACCAGCCAAGUAGCGUGAAGGAUGACUGCCCGAUGGGUUGUAAACUUCUGUUAUAUGGGAAGAAAAUGUUACACGUGUGGGAUUUUGUAUGUACCAUAUGAAUAAGGAUCGGCUAACGCCGUGCCAGCAGCCGCGGUAAUACGGAGGAUCCGAGCGUUAUCCGGCUUUAUUGGGGUUAAAGGGAGCGUAGGUGGAUUGUUAAGUCAGUUGUGAAAGUUUGCGGCUCAACCGUAAAAUUGCAGUUGAAACUGGCAGUCUUUAGUACAGUAGAGGUGGGCGGCAUUCGUUGUGUAGCUGUGACAUGCUUAGAUAUCACGAAGAACUCCGAUUGCGCAGGCAGUUCACUGGACUGCACCUGCCACUGCUGCUCGACAGUGUUGGUAUCAAACCGGAUUAGAUCCCCUAGUCGUC